This 467-nucleotide ribosomal RNA is filed under the name uncultured bacterium. RNAcentral describes it as "partial 16S ribosomal RNA". It matches the Rfam family "Bacterial small subunit ribosomal RNA", at positions 28 to 507 of the family's 1533-position model. The record is from RNAcentral.
GACGAACGCUGGCGGCGUGCUUAACACAUGCAAGUCGAACGGAAAGGCUCCAGCUUGCUGGAGUACUCGAGUGGCGAACGGGUGAGUAACACGUGGGUAAUCUGCCCUGCACUCUGGGAUAAGCCUGGGAAACUGGGUCUAAUACUGGAUAUGACCUUUCUCCUUAUGGGGUUUGGUGGAAAGUUUUUCGGUGUAGGAUGAGCCCGCGGCCUAUCAGCUUGUUGGUGGGGUGAUGGCCUACCAAGGCGACGCCGGGUAGCCGGCCUGAGAGGGUGAACGGCCACAUUGGGACUGAGGUACGGCCCAGACUCCUACGGGAGGCAGUAGUGGGGAAUAUUGCACAAUGGGCGGAAGCCUGAUGCAGCGACGCCGCGGGAGGGAUGACGGCCUUCGGGUUGUAAACCUCUUUCGGCAGGGACGAAGCGUAAGUGACGGUACCUGAAGAAGAAGCACCGGCUAACUAUGUG